Astatotilapia calliptera (eastern happy) is the source of this 174-nucleotide small nucleolar RNA. Ensembl annotates it as small nucleolar RNA SNORD97. The record is from Ensembl. NCBI's taxonomy places the organism in Eukaryota, Metazoa, Chordata, Actinopteri, Cichliformes, Cichlidae.
AUGCCCAGUGAUUAUAAAAAGACGCGUUAUUCUGAGGAAUCCAACCUGCUGCUAGUCUUUCUUUUACUAUCGUCUCUGUCUUUAAUCUCCUCUUUUCUGUCCCUCCUCCACUUCUCCUUUUUAUUCAAACUGGCAACAGGGUCCGCUGACUGCGAUUAUGAGAUAUGAGGGCAU